MicroRNA precursor from Danio rerio (zebrafish), 88 nucleotides. Ensembl annotates it as microRNA 9-6. Its record names the gene mir9-6. NCBI's taxonomy places the organism in Eukaryota, Metazoa, Chordata, Actinopteri, Cypriniformes, Danionidae. The record is from Ensembl.
GGAGGUAGUUGCUAUCUUUGGUUAUCUAGCUGUAUGAGUGUUUAUCUGCCUUCAUAAAGCUAGAUAACCGAAAGUAGAAAUGUCCUCC